GUCUCUCUCUGUCUCUGUCUCUCUCUCUCUGUCUCUCUCUGUCUCUGUCUCUCUCUCUCUUUCUCUCUCUGUCUCUGUCUCUCUCUCUCUUUCUCUCUCUGUCUCUGUCUCUCUCUCUCUGUCUCUCUCUGUCUCUGUCUCUCUCUCUCUUUCUCUCUCUCCUGGACCCUUGGUCUGUCAAUUAGAAAUACAUAAAUAUGAAAGGAUAGUGGAAUUCAACUGUCAACACAGCAGCAACAACAACAAACAAAGUCACAGUGAAGAAGAGAAAUGGAGGGAGAACAUGCUUUGGCUUGAAGGGGAUCAAUUUAGGAUCUGUUCCCAACCCCCCAGCCAAACACACAGCGACCACACAAACCUCUGCUUCCAUGCUAACAGUCCUGGGACUACAGAGAGCACUGGACCACAGAGGAAUAAGAGAUUCCCAUGAAUCGCAACCCAAGCGCUGUAUGGAGAAAUGGACAGUUUGUCCCCUCCAAAAGGAUCCAAUGUGUGCGUCAGAGGUUACCACCACUCACGUGUCACCUCCCUUCAAGGUCCUGCAGUCUGUUGAGGAAGAAUGAGAGCGAGAACGAUGGAGAAAUCGAAAGAGCGAGAAAGAGCGACGGGGAUAGUGUCGGUGAUAGUCGGCCACGCAUUUAUAAUCACAGAGGCUUAUCCAGUUGGAUUAGUUUCUAAUCAAUCUAAGCAGUGGUCCAUCCUGCCUGACAUGGUAAUCCUAUGGAAGGAAGGGUCUCUCUCUCUCCCUCUCUUCUUUCUCCCUACCUCCCUCCCUCCCUUUUUCUCUCCCCCUCCCCUCCCUCUCGCUCUCUCUCUCCCUGUUUUUCUCUCCCUGUCUUUCUCUCCCUGUUUGACGGCGUAUUCUCCUCAUAUUAACAUGCAGAUGGGCUGCUUGCAUCAUACUGAAAUGUAAAAGUCAGACAGCUUUAGCGUGAGGACAUGUGGCCCUCCUCGGAGCUUCACAUUCAAUCACACUCAGCAGCUUUGAUUAGGACAAAUACGCUGCCUGGUGCAAACUGAAACACUAAAGUCACAGCAUCAGCUAAAGCUCCAGGUAUACAUACACAGCCAUAUGACAUGAGACAUUUCACAAUGAUUGGGUGUGUGAAACCUAAGGUGUAAGGUGUAUAAGAAGCUCACUAAGGGUAGAUCUGAUAUGUAGGGUUGUUUCCCUGUGUACAUUAGCGAUAGUCAUUAGUAGUUUUGGGGUCGGGGGGGCUGCAAUCUUUUUUUCAGAGGUGGGAGAGAGGGAUACAGAAUUUUUUUUUUUUUUGCCUGCGCUGGAGACAUCUGUAUCGGUCUACUGAUACAGUACUAGUGAAAGCCCAGUGAACUACUUUUGUGAAAGAAUGCAAACUAAAAGGUUUUGUGUGUUUACCAGCAUUUGUAACGGAUAAUUAUCCGUACAAAACAGUUCAUCUGAUAAUACUUGUGGAAUAUAAAAACACUUGCUUGA
Long non-coding RNA from Oncorhynchus nerka (sockeye salmon), 1456 nucleotides. RefSeq lists it as uncharacterized. Lineage: Eukaryota; Metazoa; Chordata; Actinopteri; Salmoniformes; Salmonidae. The transcript has 2 exons. The record is from RefSeq and is a predicted model, not a curated record.